UGGCAGGAAACACGGCGCCUAAGCGGCUCAAACGCUCAAAAGUUUGGUUAUACUUUACCAGAACGGAUGACAACAGGGCAAUUUGCAAUACUUGCAAAGUAGAUAUUUCAUUUAAGGGAGGAAACACUACGAAUAUGCAAAAGCAUUUGCUCACAAAACACGCGAUGACCUUAAAUGAAUGUCGUGUUUUUAAUUCCGCUCCGGACUCGUGAAUCUCAACCCAGCAGCAGCGGUAACGUUUGCACGUCCUCUCCCGUUAAUGCGGCAGGUGACCGUGAUGAGAGAGACAGACAGUCUGGCUGGCGCUCGCUGGCAGUUGUCGCUGCAGUCCACCGGUAGCGUCUCUUUUCAGGCCCGAAUGUCACCGAGCAGUGACUAAGUUUGUGGUCAAAACCUUGCAGCCAUUUGCCACAGCAGAUGUUCAAACAGAAGCUGAAGAAUAACGGUGUGAAAGGAGGCAUCGAACUGAGCUGGAGGAAGCAGUCAGACGGGGAGGUCUUCCACAGGGAUGAAAAGGAAACAAAGAACACAGCCUGAAAUAACGAGUUUUAAAUGUUGAUCAGGGCGCGUGUAUUGUUUUUGUUUUGUUAUUUUCAGCGCAUUGUGUUCUGCGUCCUGAUUGGCUGUAGACCAUUGUCAAUCAAUCUCGUGCCCUGUCUCCUGUACAGUACAGAAUGCGUUCAGCUUGUCAAAUUUACAUAAAUCUUCGAUCACUAGCAGUGUGACUCUGAAGUGCUGCGCUGUAUGUUUGUACGUUUCUCCCUAACAAACAAGAAUGUCAGCCAAACGUUUUGCACCACCAAAGGCAACCACAGGUGCCUUUGGUUUCAUUCUAUAAUACUGGCCUUAUUUUUCUAUGAAGGUUUGAACUUUGAGUGUUUAAACAAGAGAGAAGUGUGAAAAUGUUCAUGCCUGUCUGAGAAAAGUGUAUAAAGUGUGUAGUGAAGAGUUUUACAGCCUUAAAACAUCUAUAAUAAUUGUAAAAAAAUUAAGUUGUCUACUUCGCAGAUUUCACCUAUCGCGGGUUAAUUUUAGAACGCAACUCCUGCGAGGGACCACUGUACUGUUAUUUUACAUUUAGGGGAUUGAUUUUUUUGUGUCUGUCUGGAUUCAUCAUUUGAUAUCUUUAUUCUGGUAGAUUGCAAUCUGUGUUUAUUAUGACAUCACUGAGACUUUAACUUUUGUUUUCCUGUGUUCUGGUUUAUGUCUGUUAGUAGGAGUUUUUAGUUUCUUACAGGUAUCUGUGACUGUUCCUCCCUCAGUCUCAUGUCUGUGUUCAUAUCUCAGCACUCCGGUGUUCUCUACUCAGGCAUCUUAUUAAGUGUUAGGAAAUAGACAAGAGAACUAACACAGACCUGUAUACUGUUUAAAAUUGAAAAAAAAUUAAAGUUGAUUUUUUUUAAAUGUUUUGUUAGUUUCACUUCCUGCUGUUUGGUUACUCUGACUGUAUUCACACUCAGCGUCUG
Molecule: long non-coding RNA, 1466 nt
Organism: Oreochromis aureus
Lineage: Eukaryota; Metazoa; Chordata; Actinopteri; Cichliformes; Cichlidae
Source: Ensembl